GAAAGACAGAGCCUAGGCUUCGGCCAAAGCGCAGCGCCGGACAAUCUGCCAAGAAAACCCCGCCGACGUUCCCCGGCCGCCCGUACCGUAAACCGACACAGGUGGGUGGGUGUAAGUGCACCAAGGCGCGCGAGAGAAACCUCUCUAAGGAACUCGGCACAUUAGCCCCGUAACUUCGGGAGAAGGGGUGCCCACUUCGGUGGGUCUCAGUAAAUUGCGUUUAGCGACUGUUUAACAAAAACACAGCACUCUGCCAAGUCGUGAAGACGACGUAUAGGGUGUGACACGUGACCAAUGCGGAAAGAUCAAGGUAAGUUGUCAGCCGCAAGGCGAAGCUACGAGCCCAAGUCCCCGUGAAUGUCGGCCGUAACUAUAACGGUCCUAAGGUAGCGAAAUUCCUUGUCGGGUAAGUUCCGACCUGCACGAAUCGUGUAACGACUGAACGACUGUCUCGGAAUGAUCUCGGCGAAACUGUAAUUGCGGUGAAGAUGCCGCAUGCCCGCAGUAGGACGGAAAGACCCUAUGCACCUUCACUGUAAGCUGGCAUUGUGUUCUGAUUAUCGAUGCGUAGCGUAGGUGGGAGACUUUGAUCCGCAGGUUUCGGUCUGCGGGGAGUUGCAAUGUGAAACACCACUCUUCGUUAAUUAGAAUUCUAACCUCAUCCUGUCAUCCAGGUGAGGGACAGUGCUUGCCGGUCAGUUUGGCUGGGGCGGCUUCCUCCCAAAUCGUAACGGAGGAGCGCGAAGCUCGGCUCAGCACGGUUGGCAACCGUGCGACGAGGGUAUGGCUAGAAGCCGGGUUAACUGUGAGACCAACAAGUCAAGCAGAUGCGAAAGCAGGCCCAAAUGAUCCGAUGGUUUAAUGUGGAAUUGCCAUCGCUCAACGGACAAAAGGUACGCUAGGGAUAACAGGCUGAUCGGGCCCAAGAGUUCAUAUCGACGGCCCGGUUUGGCACCUCGAUGUCGGCUCAUCGCAUCCUGGGGCUGGAGAAGGUCCCAAGGGUCCGGCUGUUCGCCGGUUAAAGCGGUACGCGAGCUGGGUUCAGAACGUCGUGAGACAGUUCGGUCCUUAUCCACUGUGGGCGGAGGAAACUUGAGGGGUUCAUUCCUUAGUACGAGAGGACCGGGAAUGACGCACUUCUGGUGUGGCAGUUGUUCCGUCAGGGGCAUCGCUGCGUAGCCAUGUGCGGAAGGGAUAAGCGCUGAAAGCAUCUAAGUGCCAAGCCCAUCCCAAGAUAAGGUUUCCCUGGCCGCAAGGCCCUGAAGACUCCGGGUAGACUACCCGGUUGAUAGGUCAGGCGUGUAAGCGCUGCAAGGCGCUCAGCGGACUGAUACUAAUACGUCGUGAGGCUUGAUCGU
Molecule: ribosomal RNA, 1358 nt
Filed under: metagenome
Description: bacterial LSU rRNA
Rfam family: Bacterial large subunit ribosomal RNA
Source: RNAcentral